Molecule: unclassified non-coding RNA, 591 nt
Filed under: Hevea brasiliensis (rubber tree)
Lineage: Eukaryota; Viridiplantae; Streptophyta; Magnoliopsida; Malpighiales; Euphorbiaceae
Source: RNAcentral
GGCGUGCUCAACUCCUCAAGGUCCUUUAUUUUGUCAUCCUCCCUGUCGCCUUCUUCAGAUUGUUGAACAUGCUCAACAGAAACUUUUUCUUGCUCAUCAGAGUGCAUAUUUGCCAUGAAUCUUGAAGAGUUCGCUGUAUUUGUACUUCCUUCUUGCAAUAAAGGGUCGGAUUCAUCGCCUCCAUUGCAAAUAGCUGCCUCAAUAGCAUCCCAACAUUUAGAAUCCACACCAUCUACAAGUAUCUUUGCGGAGUAGCUAGUAGGAUCAACUCUAUUAGUCUCAAGUUUGGCUUUAAAUGCGUCAUAGUUGUCAGACAAAUUUCGUGGCCGAAUGUUGUCCCUUUCAUCAAAGUGAAAAACAUGACCCUUCUCUUUAAGCCCAAGAGAUUUGUCACUUCCAUCAAAGUGAAAAACAGGACUCUUCUCUUUUAGCCUUAGAGGUCUUUCUCUUAUGAAUCUAGGACUGCCACAUUUUCCAGGUGAUUGCUUUGUUUUUUCCUUAGGGCUGUUUGGAGACUUCACUGGAAGAAAAGCAGAUGAAGGGUUGCGGCAGCGAAAGAGAUAUGGCUGCAAAUGUUGAUGCCUUAACAAC